Molecule: ribosomal RNA, 402 nt
Filed under: uncultured bacterium
Lineage: Bacteria
Description: bacterial SSU rRNA
Rfam family: Bacterial small subunit ribosomal RNA
Source: RNAcentral
UAAGGAAUAUUGGUCAAUGGAGGGAACUCUGAACCAGCCAUGCCGCGUGAAGGAUGACGGCCCUCUGGGUUGUAAACUUCUUUUGGAUGGGGCGAAAAAACGGGAUUUAUCCUGGACUGACGAUACCAUCAGAAUAAGCACCGGCUAACUCCGUGCCAGCAGCCGCGGUAAUACGGAGGGUGCAAGCGUUAUCCGGAAUCACUGGGUUUAAAGAAUGCGUAGGCGGUUGUAUAAGUCAGGGGUGAAAGCACGCAGCUUAACUGUGUAAUUGCCUUUGAUACUGUACGGCUUGAAUAGGGUUGAGGUUGGCGGAAUGUGACAUAGUAGCGGUGAAAUGCAUAGAUAUGUACAUAGAACACCGAUUGCGGAAGCAGCUGACUGGGCCUAUGUUAGCGCUGAGGC